UACAGAGGUCUCAAGCGUUGUUCGGAUUCAUUGGGCGUAAAGGGUGCGUAGGUGGCGCCGUAAGUCGGGUGUGAAAUUUCGGAGCUUAACUCCGAAACUGCAUUCGAUACUGCGGUGCUUGAGGACUGGAGAGGAGACUGGAAUUCAUGGUGUAGCAGUGAAAUGCGUAGAUAUCGGGAAGAACACCAGUGGCGAAGGCGGCUGCCUGGCCUGUAACUGACGCUGAGACGCGAAAGCGUGGGGAGCGAACCGG
This 253-nucleotide ribosomal RNA is filed under the name uncultured bacterium. RNAcentral describes it as "partial 16S ribosomal RNA". It matches the Rfam family "Bacterial small subunit ribosomal RNA", at positions 524 to 776 of the family's 1533-position model. The record is from RNAcentral.